RNAcentral lists this ribosomal RNA (255 nucleotides) under Anoxybacillus sp. ST4. RNAcentral's name for it is "partial 16S ribosomal RNA". It matches the Rfam family "Bacterial small subunit ribosomal RNA", at positions 1119 to 1375 of the family's 1533-position model. Lineage: Bacteria; Bacillati; Bacillota; Bacilli; Caryophanales; Anoxybacillaceae. The record is from RNAcentral.
CAGCAUUCAGUUGGGCACUCUAAGGUGACUGCCGGCUAAAAGUCGGAGGAAGGUGGGGAUGACGUCAAAUCAUCAUGCCCCUUAUGACCUGGGCUACACACGUGCUACAAUGGGCGGUACAAAGGGUCGCGAACCCGCGAGGGGGAGCCAAUCCCAAAAAGCCGCUCUCAGUUCGGAUUGCAGGCUGCAACUCGCCUGCAUGAAGCCGGAAUCGCUAGUAAUCGCGGAUCAGCAUGCCGCGGUGAAUACGUUCCC